Molecule: ribosomal RNA, 525 nt
Filed under: uncultured bacterium
Lineage: Bacteria
Description: bacterial SSU rRNA
Rfam family: Bacterial small subunit ribosomal RNA
Source: RNAcentral
UAGUCCACGCCGUAAACGAUGUCUACUAGCCGUUGGGAAACUUGAUUUCUUAGUGGCGCAGCUAACGCACUAAGUAGACCGCCUGGGGAGUACGGCCGCAAGGUUAAAACUCAAAUGAAUUGACGGGGGCCCGCACAAGCGGUGGAGCAUGUGGUUUAAUUCGAUGCAACGCGAAGAACCUUACCAGGUCUUGACAUCCUGAGAAUCUUGUAGAGAUACGAGAGUGCCUUCGGGAAUUCAGUGACAGGUGCUGCAUGGCUGUCGUCAGCUCGUGUCGUGAGAUGUUGGGUUAAGUCCCGUAACGAGCGCAACCCUUGUCCUUAGUUGCUAGCAGGUAAUGCUGAGAACUCUAAGGAGACUGCCGGUGACAAACCGGNGGAAGGGUGGGGACGACGUCAAGUCAUCAUGGCCCUUACGACCUGGGGCUACACACGUGCUACAAUGGACGGUACAAGGGCUGCAAACCGCGAGGGGGAGCGUAAUCCCAUAAAACCGUUCGUAAGUCCGGGAUUGGGAGUCUGCAAC